CUAGGCACACAGCUCAAUAACACGUGGCCAACCUGCCCUUGGGACGGAAACACCCCCGGGAAACUGGGGCUAAUUUCCGAUAGGUGAAGACUCCUGGAAUGGAUUUUCGCUCAAAGGGCGCCUGGGGCAUGCUCCUAGGCGUUGCCCAAGGAUGGGGCCGCGGCCGAUCAGGUUGUUGGUGAGGUAAUGGCCCACCAAGCCUUUAACCGGUACGGGCCGUGGGAGCGGUAGCCCGGAGAUGGGCACUGAGACAAGGGCCCAGGUCCUACGGGGCGCAGCAGUCGCGAAAACUUCGCAAUAAGCGAAAGCUUGACGGGGCCAUCCCGAGUGCCAUCUGCUGAGGAUGGCUUUUACCCAGUAUAGAUAGCUGGGGGAAUAAGGAGAGGGCAAGUCUGGUGUCAGCCGCCGCGGUAAUACCAGCUCUCCGAGUUGUAGGGAUGUUUAUUGGGCCUGAAGCAUCCGUAGCCGGCUGGACAAGUCCUCUGUUAAAUCCAGCGACCAAUCGUUGGUCUGCGGGGGAUACUGUCCGGCUAGGGGGCGGGAGAGGCCGUCGGUAUUCUUGGGGUAGGGGUGAAAUCCUAUAAUCCCAGGAGGACCACCAGUGGCGAAGGCUGUCGGCUAGAACGCGCCCGACGGUGAGGGAUGAAAGCUGGGGGAGCGAACCGGAUUAGAUACCCGGGUAGUCCCAGCUGUAAACGAUGCAGGCUAGGUGUUAGGGCGGCUACGUGCCGCUCUAGUGCCGCAGGGAAGCUGUUAAGCCUGCCGCCUGGGGAGUACAGCCGCAAGGCCGAACUUAAAGACCA
This 803-nucleotide ribosomal RNA is filed under the name uncultured soil archaeon. Its description in RNAcentral is "bacterial SSU rRNA". It matches the Rfam family "Archaeal small subunit ribosomal RNA", at positions 77 to 865 of the family's 1478-position model. The record is from RNAcentral.